This 231-nucleotide long non-coding RNA is filed under the name Prunus persica (peach). Its description in RNAcentral is "long non-coding RNA (PPER_LNC003167)". The record is from RNAcentral. Lineage: Eukaryota; Viridiplantae; Streptophyta; Magnoliopsida; Rosales; Rosaceae.
AAUAUGUCUAGGAUAAGUGUGUGAGUACUUCUUGUAAUCAUCGUUCUAUAGUGGAUUUGUGUUGGAUUGAGGAGUCCCAUGAAUUUUCCCCAUAUGUGGGGUUUUACCACGUAAAAUAAUUCUUUGCGUGUUUCUUUAUUUUAUGUUCAGCACGUUUCAGGAUUGAUAAGUCAUAUCAAUCCUACUACCGAAGUUUAAUUUUUGUUUUUUGAUUAUAAUCUUUAAUUGGCC